RNAcentral lists this ribosomal RNA (433 nucleotides) under uncultured bacterium. RNAcentral describes it as "bacterial SSU rRNA". It matches the Rfam family "Bacterial small subunit ribosomal RNA", at positions 29 to 507 of the family's 1533-position model. The record is from RNAcentral.
AACGAACGCUGGCGGCAUGCCUAACACAUGCAAGUCGAACGAAGCCUUCGGGCUUAGUGGCGCACGGGUGCGUAACACGUGGGAAUCUGCCCUUUGGUUCGGAAUAACAGUUAGAAAUGACUGCUAAUACCGGAUAAUGACGUAAGUCCAAAGAUUUAUCGCUGAAGGAUGAGCCCGCGUAGGAUUAGGUAGUUGGUGGGGUAAUGGCCCACCAAGCCGACGAUCCUUAGCUGGUCUGAGAGGAUGAUCAGCCACACUGGGACUGAGACACGGCCCAGACUCCUACGGGAGGCAGCAGUGGGGAAUAUUGGACAAUGGGCGAAAGCCUGAUCCAGCAAUGCCGCGUGAGUGAUGAAGGCCUUAGGGUUGUAAAGCUCUUUUACCAGGGAUGAUAAUGACAGUACCUGGAGAAUAAGCUCCGGCUAACUCCGUG